This 74-nucleotide transfer RNA is filed under the name Thermotogota bacterium. RNAcentral describes it as "Thermotogae bacterium tRNA-Gln". It matches the Rfam family "tRNA". From Rfam's summary of the family: Transfer RNA (tRNA) molecules are approximately 80 nucleotides in length. Their secondary structure includes four short double-helical elements and three loops (D, anti-codon, and T loops). Further hydrogen bonds mediate the characteristic L-shaped molecular structure. tRNAs have two regions of fundamental functional importance: the anti-codon, which is responsible for specific mRNA codon recognition, and the 3' end, to which the tRNAs corresponding amino acid is attached (by aminoacyl-tRNA synthetases). tRNAs cope with the degeneracy of the genetic code in two manners: having more than one tRNA (with a specific anti-codon) for a particular amino acid; and 'wobble' base-pairing, i.e. permitting non-standard base-pairing at the 3rd anti-codon position. The record is from RNAcentral. Lineage: Bacteria; Thermotogati; Thermotogota.
AGAGGGUUAGGAUAAUGGCAGUCCACCUGGUUUUGGACCAGGUAAUAUAGGUUCGAUCCCUAUACCCUCUACCA